GAUGAACGCUGGCGGCGUGCCUAAUACAUGCAAGUCGAGCGAACAGAUGAGGAGCUUGCUCCUCUGACGUUAGCGGCGGACGGGUGAGUAACACGUGGAUAACCUACCUAUAAGACUGGGAUAACUUCGGGAAACCGGAGCUAAUACCGGAUAAUAUAUUGAACCGCAUGGUUCAAUAGUGAAAGACGGUUUUGCUGUCACUUAUAGAUGGAUCCGCGCCGCAUUAGCUAGUUGGUAAGGUAACGGCUUACCAAGGCAACGAUGCGUAGCCGACCUGAGAGGGUGAUCGGCCACACUGGAACUGAGACACGGUCCAGACUCCUACGGGAGGCAGCAGUAGGGAAUCUUCGGCAAUGGGCGAAAGCCUGACGGAGCAACGCCGCGUGAGUGAUGAAGGUCUUCGGAUCGUAAAACUCUGUUAUUAGGGAAGAACAGAUGUGUAAGUAACUAUGCACGUCUUGACGGUACCUAAUCAGAAAGCCACGGCUAACUACGUG
This 497-nucleotide ribosomal RNA is filed under the name uncultured bacterium. Its description in RNAcentral is "partial 16S ribosomal RNA". It matches the Rfam family "Bacterial small subunit ribosomal RNA", at positions 28 to 507 of the family's 1533-position model. The record is from RNAcentral.